This 1408-nucleotide ribosomal RNA is filed under the name Gelidium sp. RNAcentral describes it as "SSU rRNA". It matches the Rfam family "Eukaryotic small subunit ribosomal RNA", at positions 119 to 1590 of the family's 1831-position model. Lineage: Eukaryota; Rhodophyta; Florideophyceae; Gelidiales; Gelidiaceae. The record is from RNAcentral.
CUUCGAUGGUACUCUACUCGGAUAACCGUAGUAAUUCUAGAGCUAAUACGUGCCACAAGGCGACUUUUGUCGUGGUAUAAAUUGGAGAUACAAACCAAUAUUUGGUGAUUCACGAUUUCUUUUCUGAUCGCACUUUGUGCGACGCAUCGUUCAAAUUUCUGACCUAUCAACUUUGGAUGGUAAGGUAUUGUCUUACCAUGGUUGUGACGGGUAACGGACCGUGGGUGCGGGACUCCGGAGAGGGAGCCUGAGAAACGGCUACCACAUCCAAGGAAGGCAGCAGGCGCGCAAAUUACCCAAUCCGGACACCGGGAGGUAGUGACAAGAAAUAGCAAUAGAGGGCCCGAUGGGUUUUCUAAUUGGAAUGAGAACAAGGUAAACAGCUUAUCGAGGAGCCAGCAGAGGGCAAGUCUGGUGCCAGCAGCCGCGGUAAUUCCAGCUCUGUAAGCGUAUACCAAAGUUGUUGCAGUUAAAACGCUCGUAGUCGGAACUUGGCGGGCGACGCAGGGCGUCUUUGCGGACGGAUCUGUAUCGGCCGCCUUUGUGGAGGGGGGCUUAGUGGUGCUUUAUUGCCUCGCUAAGUCGCUGCCACCGUUUACUGUGAAAAAAUUGGAGUGUUCAAAGCAGGCGUUUGCCUUGUACACAUUAGCAUGGAAUAAUAGAAUAGGACCUGGUUCUGUUUUGUUGGUUUGUGAGAAUUAGGUAAUGAUUAAGAGGGACGGUUGGGGGCAUUUGUAUUCUGCCGUCAGAGGUGAAAUUCUUAGAUUGGCGGAAGACAAACAGCUGCGAAAGCGUCUGCCAAGGACGUUUUCAUUGAUCAAGAACGAAAGUAAGGGGAUCGAAGACGAUCAGAUACCGUCGUAGUCUUUACUAUAAACGAUGAGGACUGGGGAUCGGGCGGCGCUGCUUUAUGGCCCGCCCGGCACCCUUCGGGAAACCAAAGUGUUUGCUUUCUGGGGGGAGUAUGGUCGCAAGGCUGAAACUUAAAGGAAUUGACGGAAGGGCAUCACCGGGUGUGGAGCCUGCGGCUUAAUUUGACUCAACACGGGGAAACUUACCAGGUCCGGACAUAGUGAGGAUUGACAGAUUGAGAGCUCUUUCUUGAUUCUAUGGUUGGUGGUGCAUGGCCGUUCUUAGUUGGUGGAGUGAUCUGUCUGGUUAAUUCCGUUAACGAGCGAGACCUGGGCGUGCUAGCUAGGCGCCGUUACCCCUUUUGGUAGCGAGGCUUGCCUUCCUAGACGGACUGCGGGCGUCUAGUCCGCGGAAGCUCCAGGCAAUAACAGGUCUGAGAUGCCCUUAGAUGUUCUGGGCCGCACGCGUGCUACACUGAGCGGGUCAACGGGUGAGGAUAGGCGAGAGCUUUUCCUAAUCUCUAAAUCCGCUCGUGCUGGGGAUCGAGGCUUGCAAU